This 645-nucleotide ribosomal RNA is filed under the name Adenia wightiana subsp. wightiana. RNAcentral's name for it is "eukaryotic LSU rRNA". The stretch from base 257 to 412 matches the Rfam family "5.8S ribosomal RNA". Lineage: Eukaryota; Viridiplantae; Streptophyta; Magnoliopsida; Malpighiales; Passifloraceae. The record is from RNAcentral.
CAUUAUCGAAACCUGCCCAGGNAGAACGACCCGCGAACUCGUUGUUAUAUCUUUGUGCGUAGGAGGGAUGAAGGGCCUGAGUGUCGUUCCCCUCUUGCGUUGGUGUUGGGAUGCAGCCCUGCUAUCCCCUCCCCAUGAACAAACCCCGGCGCAAGACGCGCCAAGGAAUCUGAAUAGUAAAAGAAGGUACGAGCCCCCGUUUCGGUCCGGAGACGGAGUCCGUAAGGGGUGGUCUUGUAUUUUUUUAAACCUGAACGACUCUCGGCAACGGAUAUCUCGGCUCUCGCAUCGAUGAAGAACGUAGCGAAAUGCGAUACUUGGUGUGAAUUGCAGAAUCCCGUGAACCAUCGAGUUUUUGAACGCAAGUUGCGCCCAAAGCCUUCGGGCCGAGGGCACGUCUGCCUGGGUGUCAUGCAUCGUUGCCCCCAACCCCAACCCUUAAAAAAAGGGUUGAUGAACGGUUGGGGCGGAAGUUGGUCUCCCGUGCACUCAUGUUUGUUCGCGGUUGGCCCAAACACGAGUUCUUGAUGGCCAGGAGCCACGACGAGCGGUGGUUGAAAAGACCUUCGAGGAUCGUCGUGCGUUGGCCGAGAAAUCAAGUGCUCACGGACCCUUUAGAAAAUCCAAACGNGACCNCAGUNANGC